UCCACGCCGUAAACGAUGUCUACUAGCCGUUGGGGAACUUGAUUCCUUAGUGGCGCAGCUAACGCACUAAGUAGACCGCCUGGGGAGUACGGCCGCAAGGUUAAAACUCAAAUGAAUUGACGGGGGCCCGCACAAGCGGUGGAGCAUGUGGUUUAAUUCGAUGCAACGCGAAGAACCUUACCAGGUCUUGACAUCCUGAGAAUCCUGUAGAGAUACGGGAGUGCCUUCGGGAA
This 233-nucleotide ribosomal RNA is filed under the name uncultured bacterium. Its description in RNAcentral is "partial 16S ribosomal RNA". It matches the Rfam family "Bacterial small subunit ribosomal RNA", at positions 794 to 1026 of the family's 1533-position model. The record is from RNAcentral.